This 74-nucleotide transfer RNA is filed under the name Carapus bermudensis. Its description in RNAcentral is "tRNA-Lys". It matches the Rfam family "tRNA". Rfam says of the family: Transfer RNA (tRNA) molecules are approximately 80 nucleotides in length. The record is from RNAcentral. Lineage: Eukaryota; Metazoa; Chordata; Actinopteri; Ophidiiformes; Carapidae.
CUCUAGGAAGCUAAACCGGGCGAAGCAUCAGCCUUUUAAGCUGAACAUUGGUGACUCCCAACCACCCCUAGUGA